RNAcentral lists this ribosomal RNA (253 nucleotides) under uncultured bacterium. Its description in RNAcentral is "partial 16S ribosomal RNA". It matches the Rfam family "Bacterial small subunit ribosomal RNA", at positions 524 to 776 of the family's 1533-position model. The record is from RNAcentral.
UACGAAGGGGGCGAGCGUUGUUCGGAAUCACUGGGCGUAAAGGGCGCGUAGGCGGCCCUCUUAGUCGCGUGUGAAAGCCCCGGGCUCAACCUGGGAACGGCGCGCGAAACGGGAGGGCUGGAGUUCGGGAGAGGAGAGUGGAAUUCCCAGUGUAGAGGUGAAAUUCGUAGAUAUCGGGAGGAACACCAGUGGCGAAGGCGGGCACCUGGGCUAACACUGACGCUGAUGCGCGAAAGCUAGGGGAGCAAACAGG